CGCCUUGCCAGCCCGCUCAGAAACUUAAAGGAAUUGACGGGGCCCGCACAAGCGGAGGAGCAUGUGGUUUAAUUCGAUGAUACGCGAGGAACCUUACCUGGGCUCGAACGUAAGAUGACUGUAGGUGAAAGCUUACAUCUCUUCGGAGCAUUUUACGAGGUGCUGCAUGGUUGUCGUCAGCUCGUGCCGUGAGGUGUCGGGUUAAGUCCCAUAACGAGCGCAACCCCUACCUUUAGUUGCCAUCAGGUUAAGCUGGGGACUCUAAAGGAACUGCCUACGCAAGUAGUGAGGAAGGCGGGGACGACGUCAAAUCAGCACGGCCCUUACGUCCAGGGCUACACACGUGCUACAAUGGCCGAUACAGAGGGCAGCUACCUGGUGACAGGAUGCAAAUCUCCAAAGUCGGUCUCAGUUCGGAUCGGAGUCUGCAACCCGACUCCGUGAAGUUGGAUUCGCUAGUAAUCGCGCAUCAGCCAUGGCGCGGUGAAUACGUUCCCGGGCCUU
Molecule: ribosomal RNA, 504 nt
Filed under: uncultured Sphingobacteriales bacterium
Lineage: Bacteria; Pseudomonadati; Bacteroidota; Sphingobacteriia; Sphingobacteriales
Description: bacterial SSU rRNA
Rfam family: Bacterial small subunit ribosomal RNA
Source: RNAcentral